RNAcentral lists this long non-coding RNA (1483 nucleotides) under Anser cygnoides (Swan goose). Its description in RNAcentral is "lncRNA (ENSACDG00005009499.1)". The record is from RNAcentral. Lineage: Eukaryota; Metazoa; Chordata; Aves; Anseriformes; Anatidae.
AUGGAUGAUGAAGAGACACAGCCAAAUAGUCUCUGCAGUGUUCACGAGCCCCGGCUGUGCUCAGGAAAGGAUUUCUUCCUGGAAAACCAAAAUCCUGGACCCUCCUCCCAUGGAGCAGAGCAGGAAGGAAGAGCAGAGGAGGAAGCUGCUUUGAACGAAAACUAUGUGCCCAGUGUGUGCAAGGGAACAUGGCUGAGACAGGAAUGUGGCCAUAGGAAAACAAGGAAUGUAGGAGAAUGGGAAAAGGUGACAUGCAGGGGCAUAUCACAAGGUUUGUAUGCACAGUGGGUGCAAAUAAUGUCUUGACAUGCACACUAAUCAGCAAUGUGCAAAAAGACCUCUGAAGCUUACAAACAAUCAAGCCCUCAACAGAGGCAAGCAGUUGCCCAAUAUUCUCUUUAGGGUCUUCUCCAAGACAGAAUGAAGCCUGAGGCAGUGUUUUGUACAUUCUUGCUGAGGUUUCCAAACAUGUCAACAAAACUUCAUAGUCAAUCAUACCAAUCAGUAGGAAACUAGAAAUUAUAUGUGCUUGUGCAAUCUCUGAAACUCACUCAACUAUGACCUAGAAAGCUAUGGGAAAUGACAUUGUCAUCACUGAAUUUCUGUUAGACUUAUCUUGAUACUUGAAAUAAUGAUGAAAUAAGCUGUCUGAUUAAUGACAUUAUUAUUAUCAUUCUCUGCUCAUUGCAUAACAAAAGCAUACAAACAAAAGGAAAGAAGAAAACAGAAGACAUACACGAGUAUAUUCAUAAUUAAUGGAAAACUUUACCAUGCCAACUGCAUUGCCUUAGAAAUAACUGUGACAGUUCAGUGUUGGAUGUGGUUCAUAGUGCUGUGUGAAUUUGCCCAGAGAGGCUGUGGAGUCUCCUUCUCUGGACAUAUUCAAAACCUGCCUGGAUGCCAUCCUGUGCAAUGUGCUCUAGUUGAUCCUACCCGGCAGAGGAGUUGGACUAGAUGAUCUCCAGAGGUCCCUUCCAACCUCAACCAUUCUGUGAUUCUGUGAUUCUGAUACACAUUUAACAGUCAUAAUGCUAACAUCCCCCAUGGCCCCCAGUAUGCUCCAAAAGAAAUAUAUUUAAUUUACAAUGUGCCCUUAUUUAGUAAUACAGAAGCUGGUCCUAUGCAACUGAGGGCUCAAAACCAGUGUUUUCUACCAUGGAUAGUUUCCCUCAUCUAAAGGAUUACACUUGAUAAGCAGGGAAUUUACCAAACGUUUGGCCCUUAGCACUCAAACAUGCCUUACUUUGCAUGUAUGGUCACCCAAACAGCAAAAGUCUUGCCCCAGUUCCCCAGUGCUACCAGUUUUCUGUCACCUGGAAACACUGAGAACCCCAGCUUCUGCUUUCAGGCAUUAAGAAAGUGGGAGCCUGCAAGCCAUAGGAGUUGUGAAUGAGCUAAGACUUCUGUGUACACAUUGGGUACCCUUGUACUUUGAAAAAAAUAUAAAAAAUAAAAAAGUACGAAAAACCUUUAAACUGUCUCA